RNAcentral lists this ribosomal RNA (475 nucleotides) under uncultured Smithella sp. RNAcentral's name for it is "bacterial SSU rRNA". It matches the Rfam family "Bacterial small subunit ribosomal RNA", at positions 907 to 1382 of the family's 1533-position model. Lineage: Bacteria; Pseudomonadati; Thermodesulfobacteriota; Syntrophia; Syntrophales; Smithellaceae. The record is from RNAcentral.
UGAAUUGACGGGGGCCCGCACAAGCGGUGGAGCAUGUGGUUAAUUCGAUGCAACGCGAAGAACCUUACCUAGACUUGACAUCCCGGGAAUUCUUAGGAAACUAGAAGUGCCUUUCGGGGAGCCCGGUGACAGGUGCUGCAUGGCUGUCGUCAGCUCGUGUCGUGAGAUGUUGGGUUAAGCCCCGCAACGAGCGCAACCCCUAUUGUUAGUUGCCAUCAUUCAGUUGGGCACUCUAGCGAGACUGCCGGUAAUAAACCGGAGGAAGGUGGGGAUGACGUCAAAUCAUCAUGCCCCUUAUGACCUGGGCUACACACGUGCUACAAUGGUUGGUACAACGAGUUGCGAGUCGGUGACGGCGAGCUAAUCUCUUAAAGCCAAUCUCAGUUCGGAUUGUAGGCUGCAACUCGCCUACAUGAAGUCGGAAUCGCUAGUAAUCGCGGAUCAGCACGCCGCGGUGAAUACGUUCCCGGGCCUU